Molecule: long non-coding RNA, 1960 nt
Organism: Biomphalaria glabrata
Lineage: Eukaryota; Metazoa; Mollusca; Gastropoda; Planorbidae
Exons: 3
Source: RefSeq, a predicted model, not a curated record
CGUGAGAUGUAAUAUUAUAGAUCUAUUAUAUAUAUAUAUAGAUCUAUAGGUAUAUAAACAUAAACAGUAUAUAUAUAAUAUAUAGAUCUAGAUCUAGGGGAGAGUAGGGAGAAAUGGACCAAUACUGCUAUCUUCAAAACUAGUGGACCAUAUUGUUUUGGACUAAAAUAAAAAAAAAACAAAUUCAGUAACAUGAAAUUUAAAAAAAAAACACUUCCUUUUAUUUUCGUUUAUUUUAUUUUUUUUUCUGCAUGCGCAAAUAUUUUAGUCACGGAACAUUGAUUUUCUUAACCAAUUUCGCACAUCAAUAUUUCAUUGGAUCUACUUUAGAAUUCAAGGUACCAGUACUUGGCAGUACCAGUGGCGCAACUAGAUCUAAGUGGGGAGAAAUGGGCCAUAAGAGGACCGUUUCUCCCCAUUCAUUUGAUUUAUGAUUGGCAGUAAAUUUCUAUAGCCACUAUAGGCAUGAUAUGCUUAUAGUAAUAAUGCCUCGAGUUUAUAAAAGGAAAAAGUUCUGACAAAGGCGUCAAAGGCAAAGUGCCAGAGUCAGUUAUGAGGGAUGCUGUAACUGCUUCACCUGAAAUAUUUGCAGGCUAUCCAAAAGCUGCUCCUCGCUAGCAAACCAACUUAGGAAAAAAAAGGAAAAUGUAUGAUCGUGACAUCAUCACCAAUGAUAGAGAAAAUAAAAUUAAAGCAUUGCGUUAAAUCUGGGGAUAAAUCUAAUUUAGAAAAGAAUCUAUUCGAUACCGGUAGUGACAUGACUGAUGAUAGGACAGAUAGUAGUGACAGUACCGGUAGUGAUGAAAGUAUUGAUGUCAGAAUGGAUAGUGUCGAAAGUAUGAAAGUUAACAACUAUGUUGUAAAAUGUUGUUUGUAAAAUGUUUGACAUGUUUCAGAUGUUCCUUCAGAGUUAAAGAUAUUUACUUCCUAGUCCCUACCACCCGAUGGAUGACGGGGAUGGCAGUGGUCAGGGUUUGAACCCAGGACCAUCAUUAAGUCUGAAUGACAGUCCAGCGUGCAAACCGCACUACCAGGCAGCCAUUCAAUGUCUUGUGUGAGUUUGAGGUUGGAAAGAAAACAAAAUAUUUAGUUGGUAAGGUUAUGAAAGAAGAAGAUGAGUAUGGUGAUAUAGAAGUUUUUUUUUGCGAAAGAGUGGGAAAAUGGGUGACAGUAGAAGACAUUGGACAGAAUAGGAUAAAUUAAAACAAUUUUGCCACCACCAGUAAACUGCAAAGGUACAAAAAGAACAGAAAGAUAUAAUAUCUCAUUUGAUGUAUCUUUGAAAACUAAUAAAAAAAUUUGAUUUCUUUAAGCUUCUUGUGUCUUCUGCAGGUGGUCAUUUCUCACCCAAAGUUGGUCCAUUUCUCCCCAUAUUCGGGUGGUAUUUUUAAUUAUAAUUUUUUUCUAAUGUAUGACAAUUUUAAAUUUUUUUAUAGACUAUAUUUUGAAAUAAAUGACUAUUCAGAACUAUAAAAAACAUCUCUGAGUUGUUGUUAUUUAUGUUUUUAUGUAACUUUAAGUAAAAAAGGUGGUCUAUUUCUCCCCAGUCUCCCCUACUGAUUUAGAAUUAAAUCUGGAGUCUAGAUUUAUUUAGUUCCAAUAUAAAUUAUUAAAUAAAGUCAAGAUAAUACCAUUUUCAUAUUAUUUUUAAUAAGACAUUUUUUAAUUAUGAAUGUACGUAGCAGAUCUAUUAACUAAAUUUAAAAUACUCGUCAUACAAAAUAAAUAACUGCUGGUUUAAUGAUAAAUUAUAGAAACUUUGCAAACAGAAGGAAAUCCUAUGUAGAAAAUUUAAAGAAACUAAGGCAGAAAGAGUAUAUAAAAAGUAUAUUAAAUUUAAACACCUAACCCAAAAAUAAGCAGUUGCAGAGUGAAUACAUAAACAAAGAAAUAUCUAAGGAUAGCAAUACAAAUCUGUGCCAUGGUCAAACAUUAAAUCUAAGUAAUGAUUAAAUGGUAA